AUUGAACGCUGGCGGUAUGCUUAACACAUGCAAGUCGAACGGUAGCAGGCCUUCGGGCGCUGACGAGUGGCGGACGGUGAGUAACGCGUAGGAAUCUGCCUCAUAGUGGGGGACAACGUGGGGAAACUCACGCUAAUACCGCAUACGCCCUACGGGGAAAGCGGGGGAGUCUUCGGACCUCGCGCUAUGAGAUGAGCCUGCGUUAGAUUAGCUAGUUGGUAGGGUAAAGGCCUACCAAGGCGACGAUCUAUAGCUGGUCUGAGAGGACGAUCAGCCACACUGGGACUGAGACACGGCCCAGACUCCUACGGGAGGCAGCAGUGGGGAAUAUUGGACAAUGGGCGCAAGCCUGAUCCAGCAAUACCGCGUGUGUGAAGAAGGCCUUAGGGUUGUAAAGCACUUUCAAUUGGGAGGAAAACCUAGUCGGUCAAUACCCGGCAGCUUGACAUACCUUUAGAAGAAGCACCGGCGUAAACUCCGUGCCAGCAGCCGCGGUAAU
This 499-nucleotide ribosomal RNA is filed under the name uncultured bacterium. RNAcentral describes it as "bacterial SSU rRNA". It matches the Rfam family "Bacterial small subunit ribosomal RNA", at positions 30 to 524 of the family's 1533-position model. The record is from RNAcentral.